This 72-nucleotide transfer RNA is filed under the name Bos taurus (domestic cattle). It matches the Rfam family "tRNA". Rfam says of the family: Transfer RNA (tRNA) molecules are approximately 80 nucleotides in length. The record is from Rfam by way of RNAcentral. Lineage: Eukaryota; Metazoa; Chordata; Mammalia; Artiodactyla; Bovidae. RNAcentral also lists the same sequence under 5 other names.
UCCCUGGUGGCUCAGAUGGUAAAGAAUCUGCCUGCAAUGCAGGAGACCCAGGUUCUAUCCCUGGUGAGGGAA